This 147-nucleotide non-coding RNA is filed under the name Agrobacterium sp. RNAcentral's name for it is "FMN sequence". It matches the Rfam family "FMN riboswitch aptamer (RFN element)". Rfam says of the family: The RFN element is a highly conserved domain that is found frequently in the 5'-untranslated regions of prokaryotic mRNAs that encode for flavin mononucleotide (FMN) biosynthesis and transport proteins. This element is a metabolite-dependent riboswitch that directly binds FMN in the absence of proteins. The record is from RNAcentral. Lineage: Bacteria; Pseudomonadati; Pseudomonadota; Alphaproteobacteria; Hyphomicrobiales; Rhizobiaceae.
CUGUGUUCUCAGGGCGGGGUGUAAUUCCCCACCGGCGGUAUCGGGAUUUAUCCCGGAGCCCGCGAGCGCUUCCGGUUAUGCCGGAAGGUCAGCAGAUCCGGUGAGAGGCCGGAGCCGACGGUAUAGUCCGGAUGGAAGAGAACAAGG